UGUAGCAAUGCGGAGCUUUAACAUGCAGUCGAACGGUAACAGGGAGCUUGCUCCGCUGACGAGUGGCGAACGGGUGAGUAAUAUAUCGGAACGUACCCAAGAGUGGGGGAUAACGUAGCGAAAGUUACGCUAAUACCGCAUACGAUCUAUGGAUGAAAGCAGGGGACCUUCGGGCCUUGUGCUCCUGGAGCGGCCGAUAUCUGAUUAGCUAGUUGGUGAGGUAAAGGCUCACCAAGGCGACGAUCAGUAGCUGGUCUGAGAGGACGACCAGCCACACUGGAACUGAGACACGGUCCAGACUCCUACGGGAGGCAGCAGUGGGGAAUUUUGGACAAUGGGCGCAAGCCUGAUCCAGCAAUGCCGCGUGAGUGAAGAAGGCCUUCGGGUUGUAAAGCUCUUUUGUCAGGGAAGAAACGGUUGUGGCUAAUAUCCUUUGCUAAUGACGGUACCUGAAGAAUAAGCACCGGCUAACUACGUGCCAGCAGCCGCGGUAAUACGUAGGGUGCAAGCGUUAAUCGGAAUUACUGGGCGUAAAGCGUGCGCAGGCGGUUUUGUAAGUCUGUCGUGAAAUCCCCGGGCUCAACCUGGGAAUUGCGAUGGAGACUGCAAGGCUAGAAUCUGGCAGAGGGGGGUAGAAUUCCACGUGUAGCAGUGAAAUGCGUAGAGAUGUGGAGGAACACCGAUGGCGAAGGCAGCCCCCUGGGUCAAGAUUGACGCUCAUGCACGAAAGCGUGGGGAGCAAACAGGAUUAGAUACCCUGGUAGUCCACGCCCUAAACGAUGUCUACUAGUUGUCGGGUUUUAAUUAACUUGGUAACGCAGCUAACGCGUGAAGUAGACCGCCUGGGGAGUACGGUCGCAAGAUUAAAACUCAAAGGAAUUGACGGGACCCGCACAAGCGGUGGAUGAUGUGGAUUAAUUCGAUGCAACGCGAAAACCUUACCUACCUUGACAUGUCAGAUACGGAGAGAUCUGGCAGUGCCCGAAAGGACUGACACAGUGCUGCAUGCUGUCGUCAGCUCGUGUCGUGAGAUGU
RNAcentral lists this ribosomal RNA (1035 nucleotides) under Massilia timonae. Its description in RNAcentral is "bacterial SSU rRNA". It matches the Rfam family "Bacterial small subunit ribosomal RNA", at positions 29 to 1075 of the family's 1533-position model. Lineage: Bacteria; Pseudomonadati; Pseudomonadota; Betaproteobacteria; Burkholderiales; Oxalobacteraceae. The record is from RNAcentral.